Molecule: ribosomal RNA, 484 nt
Filed under: uncultured bacterium
Lineage: Bacteria
Description: partial 16S ribosomal RNA
Rfam family: Bacterial small subunit ribosomal RNA
Source: RNAcentral
AUUGAACGCUGGCGGCAGGCCUAACACAUGCAAGUCGAGCGGAUGAAGGGAGCUUGCUCCUGGAUUCAGCGGCGGACGGGUGAGUAAUGCCUAGGAAUCUGCCUGGUAGUGGGGGAUAACGUCCGGAAACGGGCGCUAAUACCGCAUACGUCCUGAGGGAGAAAGUGGGGGAUCUUCGGACCUCACGCUAUCAGAUGAGCCUAGGUCGGAUUAGCUAGUUGGUGGGGUAAAGGCCUACCAAGGCGACGAUCCGUAACUGGUCUGAGAGGAUGAUCAGUCACACUGGAAGUGAGAGACGGUCCAGACUCCUACGGGAGGGAGCAGUGGGGAAUAUUGGACAAUGGGCGAAAGCCUGAUCCAGCCAUGCCGAGUGUGUGAAGAAGGUCUUCGGAUUGUAAAGCACUUUAAGUUGGGAGGAAGGGCAGUAAGUUAAUACCUUGCUGUUUUGACGUUACCAACAGAAUAAGCACCGGCUAACUUCGUG